This 507-nucleotide ribosomal RNA is filed under the name uncultured bacterium. RNAcentral describes it as "bacterial SSU rRNA". It matches the Rfam family "Bacterial small subunit ribosomal RNA", at positions 791 to 1297 of the family's 1533-position model. The record is from RNAcentral.
UAGUCCACGCCGUAAACGAUGUCUACUUGGAGGUUGUGGCCUUGAGCCGUGGCUUUCGGAGCUAACGCGUUAAGUAGACCGCCUGGGGAGUACGGUCGCAAGAUUAAAACUCAAAUGAAUUGACGGGGGCCCGCACAAGCGGUGGAGCAUGUGGUUUAAUUCGAUGCAACGCGAAGAACCUUACCUACUCUUGACAUCUACAGAAUCCAGCGGAGACGCAGGAGUGCCUUCGGGAACUGUAAGACAGGUGCUGCAUGGCUGUCGUCAGCUCGUGUUGUGAAAUGUUGGGUUAAGUCCCGCAACGAGCGCAACCCUUAUCCUUAAUUGCCAGCGAGUUAUGUCGGGAACUUUGGGGAGACUGCCGGUGAUAAACCGGAGGAAGGUGGGGACGACGUCAAGUCAUCAUGGCCCUUACGAGUAGGGCUACACACGUGCUACAAUGGCGCAUACAGAGGGCAGUCAACUUGCAAAAGUGAGCGAAUCCCAAAAAGUGCGUCGUAGUCCGGA